AGAGUUUGAUCAUGGCUCAGAUUGAACGCUGGCGGCAGGCCUAACACAUGCAAGUCGAGCGGUAACACAGGGAGCUUGCUCCUGGGUGACGAGCGGCGGACGGGUGAGUAAUGUCUGGGAAACUGCCUGAUGGAGGGGGAUAACUACUGGAAACGGUAGCUAAUACCGCAUAAUGUCGCAAGACCAAAGAGGGGGACCUUCGGGCCUCUUGCCAUCAGAUGUGCCCAGAUGGGAUUAGCUAGUAGGUGAGGUAACGGCUCACCUAGGCGACGAUCCCUAGCUGGUCUGAGAGGAUGACCAGCCACACUGGAACUGAGACACGGUCCAGACUCCUACGGGAGGCAGCAGUGGGGAAUAUUGCACAAUGGGGGAAACCCUGAUGCAGCCAUGCCGCGUGUGUGAAGAAGGCCUUCGGGUUGUAAAGUACUUUCAGCGAGGAGGAAGGCAUUAAGGUUAAUAACCUUGGUGAUUGACGUUACUCGCAGAAGAAGCACCGGCUAACUCCGUGCCAGCAGCCGCGGUAAUAC
This 527-nucleotide ribosomal RNA is filed under the name uncultured bacterium. RNAcentral describes it as "bacterial SSU rRNA". It matches the Rfam family "Bacterial small subunit ribosomal RNA", at positions 8 to 526 of the family's 1533-position model. The record is from RNAcentral.